UCAUUUCAAGAUGAGUCAGAGUGAAGCAGA
This 30-nucleotide non-coding RNA is filed under the name Rattus norvegicus (Norway rat). Lineage: Eukaryota; Metazoa; Chordata; Mammalia; Rodentia; Muridae. The record is from RNAcentral.